CAACUUGGAAUCAGAAACAAGACUCUCAGACAGCAUAGUACCAGCAAAAUUAGCAGAACACAUGGGAGCAGGAGCUUGAUCACUGGAAUCCUUUGAAAGGGUCUGUUGAAUCAAACUUAUAAUUUGAUCACAUUUCUGUCUGCUCAACCCUGGUAUCACAGGUUGACUUGCAAUAGGAUCCCUAAGAGGAACAGACAAAUUAGAAUUCCCAUUAUCAUCAGACACACAAUCAGGACCAGUAGAAAUAUGAGCAGCUGCAGAUUUCCUUCCCUUGAUGUAAUUAUUAUUUUGAGGAAAACCAUGGAGCUUNNNN
This 313-nucleotide long non-coding RNA is filed under the name Nicotiana benthamiana. RNAcentral's name for it is "long non-coding RNA (NBEN_LNC010196)". The record is from RNAcentral. Lineage: Eukaryota; Viridiplantae; Streptophyta; Magnoliopsida; Solanales; Solanaceae.